AAUUACAUCUUACGGAGAACAUGAAUAUAAAGCUAAACACAUAAGAAUAACAUAUACAAUGUGUAUGGUCGUUCUAUGAUUUCUUGGUGACACGCUGUGUCAGCGUAUUUAUGUUUAUAUGGAAUCGGUUACAUCGAUGUUGCGACUGCACAGAUUGUUCUAAGUCUUAGCGCCGGCGCAGUUGAAUUGGUUGUUAGCUUGUAUGUAAAAUAUUGAUAUUUUUAAGUUAAAACAGCAGUUAAAAGCUGUAAAAUCAGCUGUUAAGAGAUGGUGGAUGUUGCCAGUGGGAGUCGUUGUUUCACAUCCACCGUUAAUUGCGAUUAUUCCCCAGAUAUGUAUCAGUGGGAAUUGUGCCUAAUCUUCAAUUCUGUUGUUAUUGAUGCAAGUUAGAGACAAUAAAUAGAAGUAAUCUGAAAUACAAAAUUCAAUGCAAUGGACAAGGAAAUACACCAUGUAAUAAGAUAUACAUGGUAUAUGUAGAUAUUAGACAAUUUCACCAUGGAGAUGCUACACAUCGUUAAAGAAUCCAAACGCCACGCGACCUAACUUUAUGGUGCUCACAUAUACAGACAUUUAAUUCACAAAAAUAAGUUUUAAGCUCCACAUCGAACGGCGCUGUCAUGUUAAAUAUUAUAUGUUUGAAAUUAAAAACUUUGUAGUUGCCCUGCCGACGGUUGCUUAUGCUCAACCGAAAUAUAUCGGAUUAAAAAAAUAAAAUUGGAAACUGCGGUUGUA
Molecule: long non-coding RNA, 735 nt
Organism: Drosophila willistoni
Lineage: Eukaryota; Metazoa; Arthropoda; Insecta; Diptera; Drosophilidae
Exons: 2
Source: RefSeq, a predicted model, not a curated record